AUUCGUCGACAACAGAGUUUGAUCCUGGCUCAGAUUGAACGCUGGCGGCAGGCCUAACACAUGCAAGUCGAGCGGAUGAUGGGAGCUUGCUCCCGGAUUCAGCGGCGGACGGGUGAGUAAUGCCUAGGAAUCUGCCUGGUAGUGGGGGACAACGUUUCGAAAGGAACGCUAAUACCGCAUACGUCCUACGGGAGAAAGCAGGGGACCUUCGGGCCUUGCGCUAUCAGAUGAGCCUAGGUCGGAUUAGCUAGUUGGUGGGGUAAAGGCCUACCAAGGCGACGAUCCGUAACUGGUCUGAGAGGAUGAUCAGUCACACUGGAACUGAGACACGGUCCAUACUCCUACGGGAGGCAGCAGUGGGGAAUAUUGGACAAUGGGCGAAAGCCUGAUCCAGCCAUGCCGCGUGUGUGAAGAAGGUCUUCGGAUUGUAAAGCACUUUAAGUUGGGAGGAAGGGCAGUAAGUUAAUACCUUGCUGUUUUGACGUUACCAACAGAAUAAGCACCGGCUAACUUCGUGCCAGCAGCCGCGGUAAUACGAAGGGGGC
RNAcentral lists this ribosomal RNA (545 nucleotides) under uncultured bacterium. Its description in RNAcentral is "bacterial SSU rRNA". It matches the Rfam family "Bacterial small subunit ribosomal RNA", at positions 1 to 535 of the family's 1533-position model. The record is from RNAcentral.